UAGGGAAUAUUGCGCAAUGGACGAAAGUCUGACGCAGCGACACCGUGUGAAGGAUGAAGGUCCUCGGAUUGUAAACUUCUGUCAAUUGGAGACGAAGAUACUUAGGGUUAAUAGCCUUAAGUAUUGACGGUACCCAAUAAGGAAGUCUCGGCUUACUCCGUGCCAGCAGCCGCGGUAAGACGGGGGAGGCAAGCGUUGUCCGGAAUUAUUGGGCGUAAAGAGCGCGUAGGUGGUUUAUCAAGUCAUUUGUGAAAACUUUAGGCUUAACUUAAAGAUUGCAAGUGAUACUGGUAUACUUGAGCACAGCAGAGGAAAGUGGAAUUCCUGGUGUAGCGGUGAAAUGCGCAGAUAUCAGGAAGAACACCAGUGGCGAAGGCGGCUUUCUGGGCUGUUGCUGACACUGAGGCGCGAAAGCUAGGGGAGCGAACA
Molecule: ribosomal RNA, 429 nt
Filed under: uncultured bacterium
Lineage: Bacteria
Description: bacterial SSU rRNA
Rfam family: Bacterial small subunit ribosomal RNA
Source: RNAcentral